GAUCCCCAGAGUUAAGCUAGUAACAAGCAUUUCUAGGACAUGGAUACACACGGAUGGAAAGAGAGAGGAGAGGAGCUCAGUGUGUCAAAGGACGUCCCCCGACAGUGUAAAACUAUUACAGCAUAAUUAAGAGCAGGUGCAAGGCAAACCUGAGCUAGUCCUAGAAGGGUUGGUAGAUGAAUCAGACGACUAUGAAGAUAAGGGGGGCCAAGAACAAACUGUUU
This is a long non-coding RNA of Etheostoma cragini (Arkansas darter), 224 nucleotides long. RefSeq lists it as uncharacterized. The record is from RefSeq and is a predicted model, not a curated record. Lineage: Eukaryota; Metazoa; Chordata; Actinopteri; Perciformes; Percidae. The transcript is spliced from 3 exons.